CAAUAAUCGACAGGCGAAUAAAAAGUCACAAAGGACUAACCUCGGGACCUUGGGACCAAGACCACUCGGGUCA
This is a non-coding RNA of Gossypium raimondii (Peruvian cotton), 73 nucleotides long. The record is from the annotation of a RefSeq genome assembly. NCBI's taxonomy places the organism in Eukaryota, Viridiplantae, Streptophyta, Magnoliopsida, Malvales, Malvaceae.